GACGAACGCUGGCGGCGUGCUUAACACAUGCAAGUCGAGCGAGGACCAGCCCUUCGGGGCUGGGGACAGCGGCGAACGGGUGAGUAACACGUGGGUAAUCUGCCCUCGGCACCGGGAUAGCCCGGGGAAACCCGGAUUAAUACCGGAUGGCCUUUCGGGCCCUCGGGCUUGAGAGAAAAGGUAGCUUUGGCCUCUGGCCGAGGAUGAGCCCGCGGCCGAUUAGCUUGUUGGUGAGGUAAUGGCCCACCAAGGCGACGAUCGGUAGCUGGUCUGAGAGGACGAUCAGCCACACUGGGACUGAGACACGGGCCCAGACUCCUACGGGAGGGCAGCAGUGGGGAAUCUUGCGCAAUGGGCGAAAGCCUGACGCAGCGACGCCGUGUGCGGGAAGAAGGCCU
This 398-nucleotide ribosomal RNA is filed under the name uncultured bacterium. RNAcentral's name for it is "bacterial SSU rRNA". It matches the Rfam family "Bacterial small subunit ribosomal RNA", at positions 28 to 417 of the family's 1533-position model. The record is from RNAcentral.